Molecule: small nucleolar RNA, 49 nt
Filed under: Pyrobaculum aerophilum str. IM2
Lineage: Archaea; Thermoproteati; Thermoproteota; Thermoprotei; Thermoproteales; Thermoproteaceae
Description: PAEsR28
Source: RNAcentral
GUGAUGUUAGCUGGUAUUGCUGAUUCUUGAUGACUGACGCCAAGUCUGA